GACUGAGUGGCGGACGGGUGAGUAACGCGUGGGUAACCUGCCUCAUACAGGGGGAUAACAGUUAGAAAUGACUGCUAAUACCGCAUAAGCGCACAGUACCGCAUGGUACCGUGUGAAAAACUCCGGUGGUAUGAGAUGGACCCGCGUCUGAUUAGCUAGUUGGUGGGGUAACGGCCUACCAAGGCGACGAUCAGUAGCCGACCUGAGAGGGUGACCGGCCACAUUGGGACUGAGACACGGCCCAAACUCC
This 250-nucleotide ribosomal RNA is filed under the name uncultured Lachnospiraceae bacterium. RNAcentral describes it as "partial 16S ribosomal RNA". It matches the Rfam family "Bacterial small subunit ribosomal RNA", at positions 89 to 339 of the family's 1533-position model. Lineage: Bacteria; Bacillati; Bacillota; Clostridia; Lachnospirales; Lachnospiraceae. The record is from RNAcentral.